GAUGAACGCUGGCGGCGUGCCUAAUACAUGCAAGUCGAGCGAACAGACGAGGAGCUUGCUCCUCUGACGUUAGCGGCGGACGGGUGAGUAACACGUGGAUAACCUACCUAUAAGACUGGGAUAACUUCGGGAAACCGGAGCUAAUACCGGAUAAUAUAUUGAACCGCAUGGUUCAAUAGUUAAAGACGGUUUUGCUGUCACUUAUAGAUGGAUCCGCGCCGCAUUAGCUAGUUGGUAAGGUAACGGCUUACCAAGGCAACGAUGCGUAGCCGACCUGAGAGGGUGAUCGGCCACACUGGAACUGAGACACGGUCCAGACUCCUACGGGAGGCAGCAGUAGGGAAUCUUCCGCAAUGGGCGAAAGCCUGACGGAGCAACGCCGCGUGAGUGAUGAAGGUCUUCGGAUCGUAAAACUCUGUUAUUAGGGAAGAACAAAUGUGUAAGUAACUAUGCACGUCUUGACGGUACCUAAUCAGAAAGCCACGGCUAAGUACGUG
This 497-nucleotide ribosomal RNA is filed under the name uncultured bacterium. RNAcentral's name for it is "partial 16S ribosomal RNA". It matches the Rfam family "Bacterial small subunit ribosomal RNA", at positions 28 to 507 of the family's 1533-position model. The record is from RNAcentral.